Molecule: ribosomal RNA, 117 nt
Filed under: Candidatus Omnitrophota bacterium
Lineage: Bacteria; Pseudomonadati; Candidatus Omnitrophota
Source: RNAcentral
GUUGGUGACAAGAGCGGUGGGGGUACACCCGGUCCCAUCUCGAACCCGGUCGUUAAGCCCACCAGCGUCCAUGGUAGUUGAGGGGUAACCCUCCGCGAGAGUAGACCGUCGCCAACA